Molecule: ribosomal RNA, 438 nt
Filed under: Triticum aestivum (bread wheat)
Lineage: Eukaryota; Viridiplantae; Streptophyta; Magnoliopsida; Poales; Poaceae
Description: partial small subunit ribosomal RNA
Source: RNAcentral
AUGAACCUCCACGAGAGGAAGCUCGCCGUCAAGUUCUAUGCCAACGUCGCCAUGGCGGCCGCGCGCUGUGCCACCCGCACCGACGCAAGGUGGCCCAGUGCCAUCUUAGCCUCCGAAGCGGGCGCCUCACCAUCAUCCGGCGCGUGCAAGAUGCAGAGGUGCAGGACAAUCGUGAGCAGGUGCUGCCGGCGGAAGAAGAGCUGGAUUAGAUCAGGUCGUGCUGGUGCUGGCGCUGUUGCGAGGAGGCUGUUGAGGACGAGGACUAUGGCGCUGAGGGACGUGAUACCGGGAGGCCGGGACGCCGCCGUUGACCAGGCCACCCUGCUACGCGAGGCCAUGGACUACGCGGUGCACCUGCGCGCUCAGGUCGACGUGCUCCGCCACUUAUCGGAAGCCGUGCAAAGAUCCAGCUCCAUCUCUCGGCAGGGUCAGCAGUGA